AAGGGUCUUUGUGGUGCAUGCAUAGAAAGAAGUUAGUUAUCUGUUCUAAUUUCCUCUGUUUUUGAUCCAGACAAAUCUUUGGUAUUGAUUGGUUGUUCAGCAGAGAUGGUAAUAAAAAUAGUUGAAUUGCUGAAAGACUUUGCAUCUCAUGAAGAGAUUAUGGAGAUUCUUGCCACAGUGGCUGCAGAUUUGGGGGAUGUCAUCGAUGUGAGUUUCUUGCAGGUCAAACCUUUGAAGGGAGCAAUGACUAAUGAGGUUUUCGAGAUAAACUGGCCAGCCAAAAGUGAUGGCCAUCUCAGAAGGGUUCUAGUCCGAUUAUACGGCGAAGGUGUUGAGGUUUUCUUCAACAGGGAUGUUGAGGAUGAAAUCCAAACUUUUGAGAGCAUGUCAAAGCACGGUCAGGGUCCAUGCCUUCUUGGCCGGUUCGCCACUGGUCGAGUUGAGGAGUUCAUUCAUGCCAGAUUCCAUGUGAUCAGAACUCGAACUGAAACCUGUAGAAAAAAGGUGAGAAGCUUGGAGCAGAUGAACGGAAAUCUCCUUCUUGAACUUGUUCAAGAAGGAUUCAUGCACAUAUGGCUGAUGGAUGCUGAUUCAUGUCCAUUUUUUAAGAAAGAAUUCAGUUAAUCUUUCUGUAAUAUAUGUAAAAUUGUGUAAAAUUUAGUAUGGUUGACCAAUAUACUGAGGAUUAUAGUUGAUAAUACACUUUGUUUAUGUUUUGAAUUAUAUUGACUUGCUU
This is a non-coding RNA of Arachis ipaensis, 736 nucleotides long. NCBI's taxonomy places the organism in Eukaryota, Viridiplantae, Streptophyta, Magnoliopsida, Fabales, Fabaceae. The record is from RefSeq and is a predicted model, not a curated record.